CUGCAAAGCCACUCUACUUUAAUGACAGAUACCUGAAUGUGAAAAAAGUUUUGGUUGAUACUUUCUUUGGUCCUCCAAAGGAGGGAGUAUACAGCCCAUCUGUUCAAAGCACUCUUUAUCAAAUGGCAGAGGCUGUUCUUGCAAGGUUUCCUGAUAUAUCAUCAAUCCAAUUAAAAAUGCCGAAUAUCCAUUUCCUGCCGAUUAAUCUAUCAACCAAAGAAAAUCUUAUUGUGAAGUUUGAAGAUGAUGUUUAUUUACCAACAGAUGAACCACAUGGAUCAAUUGAAGCGAGCUUGAGCCGCAUCUUGUCCAAGAUGUAAAGCUGCUGCUAAGUAGUGUUUUCAGUUGUCUUUUUUUCUGCUAUGUCCUCAAAAGGGUUCCAUUAGUAUACUUGGUGGAAUCUAGUGUAUCUUAGCCAAACCCUUCGCAUGAUGGCUUGACAUGUGGUUGUAUGGUCUGGAGAUGCUUACUUGUCUUGCAAUGUGUAUGUAAAUUAUGUUGUUUAAAUAAUCAGCUUCUUGCUGACGAUUGUGUAUUUUAGAGUCAUCUCAGUCUUUCAUGA
Camellia sinensis is the source of this 562-nucleotide non-coding RNA. The record is from RefSeq and is a predicted model, not a curated record. Lineage: Eukaryota; Viridiplantae; Streptophyta; Magnoliopsida; Ericales; Theaceae.